GCCGGCGCGCCGGCGGGGUUGGAGAGUGAGGGGGCCGGGGUCCGGCGGCGGCCCCCUCUGUCCGGAGGAGGUCCGUUCUGCCCCCGCCCGCGGCGCUGGGAAGUGUGUGCUCCACCUGCCAGUUGGGCCCGAGGGGACGCGGAGCCGGCCCCGCGUGCAACCGCGUGCCCUCAGCCCCGCGCGCGCAGGGGCGCCGGCGCGCUGAGGGGAGCGAGACUCGACGCGCUUGCCCACGAAGGCCCAAGGACCGCCCCCAGGAGCGUCCAGUUGUGGGAAACACUGGCAGGAGACGGGAGCGAGAAGGACCCUGAGGCCUGGUUACUUGUUCCUGAGAUCAGCCCUGCUGGGUCACGGAGGUGAGAGCGUCUAUGGAAGGCCUGUCAUCGUGGCCUCUUGCGUUCAGCUCUCCCCAUCUCGGUUCUGGUAACAGCCUUCCCCUCCUGCCCUUAUCAGCCCGGAGCACAGCCUGCCCUCGGCACCACGGGCGUGGGGCUUAUCGGUGGCACCUGGCGACCCCACCAAUGCCUGGGUAGCAGACACAUACAUGCUGGCCCUCGAUAAAUGUUUGUCAGACGAACGGGCCAGGCACUGAAUCACGGAGUGGUUGCAGUCACACGAGAGCCUUGUGACUUGUGGCCACACCGCCGGUGGUUAGAAGACUGUGCGGUUGGCGCUGGGCACAGCUGAUGGCUCCUCUGGGGGGACCAGGCCAGGGAUCUGGGGCAAGUUGUUGAAGCUGGCCGGGCUCGAUUCCUUCUCUUUCGAGUGGGGAUCGUACUGUCGUCUUCACUGAGUUGAUUAAAUGAGAAACAAUUCAC
RNA transcript from Puma concolor (puma), 818 nucleotides. It is a transcript of the gene named BCL2 related protein A1, with no coding region annotated. The record is from RefSeq and is a predicted model, not a curated record. NCBI's taxonomy places the organism in Eukaryota, Metazoa, Chordata, Mammalia, Carnivora, Felidae.